Mesocricetus auratus (golden hamster) is the source of this 2868-nucleotide long non-coding RNA. RefSeq lists it as uncharacterized. The transcript has 4 exons. The record is from RefSeq and is a predicted model, not a curated record. Lineage: Eukaryota; Metazoa; Chordata; Mammalia; Rodentia; Cricetidae.
AGCCCUUCCCUCGUCCCGCGCACCUCUUUGAAGCUCCGCCUUCCAUCCUCUCCUCUCUUCAAGACCCCACCUUUAUCCCACGCCCCUCGUUGUGUAUUUUACUAAGCCACGCCCACAAUCCCUACCCUCCCCCCCUUAGUGGCCUUUCCCCAAAACCUCACUCUUGAGCCACGCCCCUCUCGGAGCUCGUCCCCCGCCCUUGGUCUUAGAGCUUGCAGCUCGGAAUUCCUGCUGUCACGCCCGGUCUUGCUGUGUGCCCCUAGGCUAAGGUCUGGGAUUCAGUAUCUGAACCGCCUUUUGGAGUUUUUUUGGGCAAGUAGCCGGGAUGGUUCAUUCACAAGAUGCUUAUCCAGCCAGCCAGGAGCUGAGGCGCGGAAAGCUGCCUUGCCGGAGUACAGAUCUCUGCACCACGCCUCCUACUCCUCCUCUGUAGGAACCUCCUCAAAUUCUUCACCUGAGUUUGUCACAUGCUACACGACGCAGGGACAAACCUGGGAUGAGCAGCUGACACCAAUGCAGUCUGGUUGUCUGGUUGACUUAACACCAUUGGCCACUCCAGAGAAGCCUGAGAAGAUUGCAAGGUGCCAGAACCUGAAACCAGAUCUGCCCCUUGGGAAAGGUGUGCUGUUCAGAACAGAAAUAUGGAUGUAUAUGACCAGAAGAUAUGCCUAAAAAAGACCCACAACAGCAUCAUUUGUAUCAUCUUGACCCAGAGCCAGGCCAGAUAUCCAGCAGAAGAAUGGACACGUGUUCUUGGAAUGCCACACAUUAGAAUCCUGCUCAGCAGUGAACCAACACUCCAUUGCUCUGCAGAUGCCAGGCAGAAGACCCAGGAAUGCAAAGUAGCCUCAGGCACAGGUGAACAAUGAAAGCUACACAGCACCACAGCCAGGAAGAAUGAAGUUGCUCAGAACAGAGCAGAGCUACACAGACAGGUUUAGCACAGACAACCGGCUCAGGUUGUAAAGCUGCCAUUUACUGCUGCCCCUGCCUCCCAAUGGCACAUCUGGAUCUCAGCUACCUUGUUUACAAAAUAGAAAUAAUACAGAGCUCCCAAGGUUUGUCUCAUAUGGAGAAUGAGUUUGGUAAGUAUUAACUAUGGUAAUAGUCACUUUACUUCAGGAGGGACAAGAGGUCAAGUUUAGCUCCCAUGAACAAUGUGGAAACCCACAUACACAGAACAGAAGUCAAAGGUAAAGCUGAAGACACAUUGAGAGAGACUCAGGCAUGUUUCUGAAUCCUGGGCCUAUGAUGCUCCAAGUUUGGAACAGAGACUCUGCAAGGAUCGAGAUGGGGAGAAGACGAGGAAAGAGAGGGAGUGGGGCCUGGUAGGAUAUUUUGCCAUAAAUAUGGCACACAAUAGUUUCUUUUGUCCUGGCACACUUCUUCCAUCGGGUUGUGAUGGAGUCUGUUUUAUAUUAAUUAAUUUUAUUGUGUGUGUGUGUGUGAGUGUUUUAUCUGUGAGCAUGUAUAUGCAGAAGUUAGAACAGGGUGUUAGAUACCCUGGAACUGGAGUUAGGGGUGUUUAUGAACUACUUUCUUGGUGCUAUAGAUGAGGAGAGCCAAGGUUCCCCAGCAGAGGGUCAGAGCCAAGACCCUCAGCAUGUCAGUGACUAUCACAACACAGACAAGCCCUGACUAAAAUCUUAUUGUCCAUUCAACUCACAGAAGCAUAAGAAACAAUAAGUAGUUUCUGUGUUACGUUUGAAGUUGGUUUGACAUGUUAUGUAGGAUGGUUACUGUGUCAAUUUGACAGAAUCAAUCUAGAAUCACCUGAAAGAUGGGCCUGUGGGGACGGUCUUGAUCAUAUUAACUGAGGAGAAGGGAUCUGCCCCCUGUGGGGGGCACCAUUCCCUGGCUGAAAUCCUGGAUCGUACAGAUGGAGAAAGAAGAUGAGCAGCUCCAGGUGUUCAAGGCUCUCUUCAGACUGCAGACACAUUGUGACCAGCUGCUUCAAGCUGCUCUGACUUCAUUGUCAUGACAAACUGGACCCUGAAACUGUCACCUAACAUAAGCCUCACCUUCCUUAAGUUGCUUUCUUGCCAGGGUACUUUAUCAAAGCACUGGAAAAGUAGAUGGCUUCCAUAGAUAACUGUCAUCAAAAUGAGCAUCUCACGGUGAGCAGCUGCUAAGGAGAGCACAGCUCAUGUGCAGCCGCUGUGGGGUCGGGGAGGAGAACGCUGGAGGGGAUGUGUAGAGAUGAUAGAACAGCGAAGACGAGCUGACAGAACAAUGGUGGGGUCGCAGCAGAAGGGCUGUGGGUGACCAUAAGUCCUGUACCAUGCUAGACUGGUGCCUGCUAUUCUUGUGAGCUUUGCAAGGAGAUUUUUCAUCACGGUGUGGAAAGUUCCUGUUGCCACAUUUUAACUUCCCGUGACAAGACACAACUUGCAUGCUACUGUGAUCAAUACCUGACAGGAAUUAACUGAAGGGUUCACUGUAUCUGAGGUGAUACAGCCCAUCGUAUGGGGAAGGGCAGUGUGGCAGGUGGUGCCCUGGUGGCAGCAGUGUGAUCUGGGGCUCUUUACCUCCUCACAUCUUGUCAGAACAGGAAGUGGAGAGUGAAUAGAAAGUGAGGGUGAGUCAAAAACAAUCUCAAAGACCACCCCCAGUAACCCAUUUCCUCCAGAGAGCCUCCACGUCACAAAAAAAAUCUUCCAAAACUGCAUCACUUGCUGGGGUCUAGGUGCCCAAACACCCGAGCCUAUGGGAGACAUUUCAUGAGACUGUGAAAUUCAAACUAUGAUACUGGGCUAAUAUACAGAGGGAAAACUAUCCUGUGAUCCCACUCACAAGGACACCUGUAGGAAUCAAGUUCUUUUAAGAGCAAGCAGGUGAAGACUGGAGGCUGUCAGGGUCUGGGGGGGC